Long non-coding RNA from Chroicocephalus ridibundus (black-headed gull), 698 nucleotides. RefSeq lists it as uncharacterized. NCBI's taxonomy places the organism in Eukaryota, Metazoa, Chordata, Aves, Charadriiformes, Laridae. The transcript is spliced from 3 exons. The record is from RefSeq and is a predicted model, not a curated record.
UGCUUUGCAGUGCACGGUCACUUCACCUCCGGCUGCCCCAAACGUUUGUCCGCGAGACGCAGGGCAUGCACGACACUUGCACUGGGAAUGCUCCCAGGCCCGACAUACAUGUCCUAUAACUGCCUUGGCGCAGCUGGCAAGCCAGCAAGGGGACAUGUUGGAACACAGACCGGCGUGAGACGGGCGGUGCUGUAGGAUCGCAAACGUCCUGUCUCCCAUGGGUUUGCACUCGUUGGACCUCUUUCCUGCCCGUCCGGCGGCCUCAGCUCUCAUUUGCAUUGUGAGUUGGCUUGGAUCUGCUGGGAGGAGCAGCUCCUUCCCGGAGCCCCCGAAAGGCCGGUGGGCUGGGCUCCUGCAAGUGAGCACCGGGGUCUUUUGGCUGCUGAGCGAUGCUCUCGUUCCACUCACGAACGCGCGCAGAGCCGGGGCGACAAGCGACAGGACCCACCGACGUGCCUGACGCAAGACCCUAUCCCCGGGCAGCUGGGAGGGUUGCAAUUGCAAUCCCACUGGUUUCCACGCUGUGUUCAAGCUGGACUUGCGGCAGCUCCUGGAGACUUCUGGCACCAGCCAACUCCCUCUUGGCAGCACUCCUCCCCGCUCCGGGGCUGUGCUGUUUGCUUAUCUAGUGCCGUGAUUUAACACAGACGCAGGAACUCACACACUCUCUCCCAGUCUCCUUCAAAUUACUUUAUUGC